This 374-nucleotide ribosomal RNA is filed under the name uncultured organism. RNAcentral's name for it is "partial 16S ribosomal RNA". It matches the Rfam family "Bacterial small subunit ribosomal RNA", at positions 527 to 896 of the family's 1533-position model. The record is from RNAcentral.
GUAGGUGGCAAGCGUUGUCCGGAAUUAUUGGGCGUAAAGCGCGCGCAGGCGGGUUCUUUAAGUCUGAUGUGAAAGCCCACGGGCUCAACCGUGGAGGGUCAUUGGAAACUGGAGAACUUGAGUACAGAAGAGGAAAGCGGAAUUCCACGUGUAGCGGUGAAAUGCGUAGAGAUGUGGAGGAACACCAGUGGCGAAGGCGGCUUUCUGGUCUGUAACUGACGCUGAGGCGCGAAAGCGUGGGGGGCAAACAGGAUUAGAUACCCUGGUAGUCCACGCCGUAAACGAUGAGUGCUAAGUGUUAGGGGGUUUCCGCCCCUUAGUGCUGCAGCUAACGCAUUAAGCACUCCGCCUGGGGAGUACGGCCGCAAAGGCUG